RNAcentral lists this ribosomal RNA (1088 nucleotides) under Sciadopitys verticillata. RNAcentral's name for it is "partial small subunit ribosomal RNA". Lineage: Eukaryota; Viridiplantae; Streptophyta; Pinopsida; Cupressales; Sciadopityaceae. The record is from RNAcentral.
GUUUGGUUAGUCCUAUACGAGCGAACCCUCGUCUAUAACGAUAAUUGUGUUAUAAUUCGACUCGAUAGAUCGCCUCGACCAGAUCGAGUGCCUAAACUAUAAUUGAAUUUUUCAAGGUGUUAUGUUACAAUAAUUCCGUCCCGUCGGUUUCAACGCAACGCGUUUUGUGUUGCUGCUGUGAGGGACGCUCCCGACCCGCGCUUCAUCCGAGUGGAGUGUAUAAUUCAUUUCUUCCCCCCCUAGCCUAGUAAAAUUAAUUAAUAAAUAGACCUGCCCUUAAUAAAUAAAUAAAUAAAUAAUUCCCCCCCCAGGGGGGGAAGGGACUAGGGGGGGAAGGGUAGAGGUCGAGCGCUCUGUCCCUCAAUGAUACUCUGAGUGAAGAGAAAUGUCACCCUCCUUACCUGUUUCCUUGAACUAUAAUUGUUACCGAUAGGACUCGACCUCGACUCUUCAUCUUCGACAGGUAGGAAGGGGAUAUUCAACUAGAAUUCUCCUCUCCCGUUGCGUGUAUAAUAAUUGUGAGAUGAGAACUAUAGUUCCGUAUCAACUAGAAUUCAUUCACUUCCCCAGUAAAAUACCCUAUUUAAUUUAAUUCCCUUCCCCCCCUGGGGGGGGAAGGGACUAGGGGGGGAAGGGUUAUUAUAAUUGAAUAGUUCGGCUUAGCUCGCGAUUAUAGAUAGAGAGGAGUGAACACCAUGCCCAGAAUGAACAGCUCGAGAUAUAACUUAAGUAAGGCCGAGGCAAGCUACGCUAUACCAGUUAUAGUUGUCCUCGUCCUCCUGUCGUUUACCCUGAGCGUUGUUACACCUUCCCCCCCAAUUACUCUUUUUUUGGGGGGGAAGGGAGAACUAGAAUUGUUGUUACAAUUAUUCUAUUCUUCAAGUUUCUCUUGGGAUAACAAUUAUUAUAGAACUUUCCAAGUCGGACGAGGGAUAGGGAAGGGGUGUUGAUGGCCGUCUCUUCUUACAAUAAUACUUCGAGUCGCGUCGCAAUUAUAGUUGGUUCUCAUCUGAACGGAGUGAAGAUGAGGAUAUAUGCACUUCGGUCGCGGCUCGCUAGAGGCAGGUCAUUUAUGCCAGGUCGAGGGA